GCAAAAGUAUCUAAAAAUCAGAAGAAUCUGCAGUCUGUGGUAGCUCUGGGGGCUUCAUAGCUUAUUUCAUUAGGCAAAUUUGUUGAUCCAGCUGAGGAAGUGGGAAAACUUAACAAGACAUAAUACAGCUUUCCUUUCCAAGAAAAAGUGAAGUCACCGCCUUUGAAAGAAGAGAAAUAUAGCCUGUUGUUAUAUGGCAAGUAUUUGUGCUUCUGAGAGAUUCCUUGAACUUGAUGACUCAAAACAUCCAUUAUCUGAGAGAGGGCUGUGAAUUUACAAGCAGGAGGGAUAACAAAGGAGAAGGAAAUCUGCUGCAGACCCAAAUUAUCUGCUAAACCUUCUUCCCCACAUAUAACUCUGUUACUCCUUGCUGGCACCCAUUCCUUAGGGAGAUUUGGGAAUCCUUCCAGACUUCUUCUAGUUCCCUCCUCUCUCUCCUAAUCCUAUUGACAACAGAAGAAAUGACACAAAAGAUCAACUGUUGGCUUUAUGUAAAAUAUUUCAUCAAAAUGGUGAGUCACUGGAAAAAGAUUUCUCAC
Molecule: long non-coding RNA, 539 nt
Filed under: Phasianus colchicus (ring-necked pheasant)
Lineage: Eukaryota; Metazoa; Chordata; Aves; Galliformes; Phasianidae
Description: lncRNA (ENSPCLG00000002057.1)
Source: RNAcentral